GCUUAACCGGAGAAGUGCAUCGGAAACUGGAUAACUUGAGUGCAGAAGAGGGUAGUGGGACUCCAUGUGUAGCGGUGGAAUGCGUAGAUAUAUGGAAGAACACCAGUGGCGAAGGCGGCUACCUGGUCUGCAACUGACGCUGAGACUCGAAAGCAUGGGUAGCGAACAGGAUUAGAUACCCUGGUAGUCCAUGCCGUAAACGAUGAGUGCUAGGUGUUGGAGGGUUUCCGCCCUUCAGUGCCGGAGCUAACGCAUUAAGCACUCCGCCUGGGGAGUACGACCGCAAGGUUGAAACUCAAAGGAAUUGACGGGGGCCCGCACAAGCGGUGGAGCAUGUGGUUUAAUUCGAAGCUACGCGAAGAACCUUACCAGGUCUUGACAUCUUGCGCCAACCCUAGAGAUAGGGCGUUUCCUUCGGGAACGCAAUGACAGGUGGUGCAUGGUCGUCGUCAGCUCGUGUCGUGAGGUGUUGGGUUAAGUCCCGCAACGAGCGCAACCCUUGUUACUAGUUGCCAGCAUUAAGUUGGGCACUCUAGUGAGACUGCCGGUGACAAACCGGAGGAAGGUGGGGGACGACGUCAGAUCAUCAUGCCCCUUAUGACCUGUGCUACACACGUGCUACAAUGGACGGUACAACG
RNAcentral lists this ribosomal RNA (638 nucleotides) under uncultured bacterium. Its description in RNAcentral is "bacterial SSU rRNA". It matches the Rfam family "Bacterial small subunit ribosomal RNA", at positions 607 to 1244 of the family's 1533-position model. The record is from RNAcentral.